UUAAGUGGGUGAUUUCUUCCUUCUUUCCUUCGUUCCAAUAGAAUACUUAUAAAAAAAGAAAAACAAAUAAACUUACAUCCUAUUAAAAAAACAAUGGUCGCAAUGGGGUGGGGUAGUGACUCAAUAGAAGUAUCACCAUUUGGAGUUGAAUCAUGUCUUUCGUGAUUGUGAGAGUGGUUCAUCCUAUUGUUGAGUGUAGUUUGAGUGUCGGGUUUUUGUUAUCGUCUCCACAGGGAUU
RNAcentral lists this long non-coding RNA (238 nucleotides) under Lathyrus oleraceus (garden pea). RNAcentral describes it as "Pisum sativum (pea) long non-coding RNA (PSAT_LNC017606)". The record is from RNAcentral. Lineage: Eukaryota; Viridiplantae; Streptophyta; Magnoliopsida; Fabales; Fabaceae.